GGGCGGUUAACUCAGUGGUUAGAGUGCCAUCCUCACACGGUGGAAGUCGCAGGUUCUAAUCCCGCACCGACCA
Molecule: transfer RNA, 73 nt
Filed under: Deltaproteobacteria bacterium
Lineage: Bacteria; Pseudomonadati; Myxococcota; Myxococcia
Description: tRNA-Val
Rfam family: tRNA
About the family: Transfer RNA (tRNA) molecules are approximately 80 nucleotides in length.
Source: RNAcentral